Molecule: long non-coding RNA, 10886 nt
Organism: Homo sapiens (human)
Lineage: Eukaryota; Metazoa; Chordata; Mammalia; Primates; Hominidae
Exons: 2
Source: RefSeq, a predicted model, not a curated record
AUCCUCAAGACCUGCCUUCUUAGGUACAGAAGCUGCAGUGAAAAUGAGAGUUAUCAGUUAAAGGAGACUUCAUUUCAAGAGAGACUCUUCCCAACACAGUCACUGUCCUGUCUCCUGGCCCUGUUUCAGAAGGAUGGAGGGAAUUCCCUCAGCUCACCGCCCCUUGCAUUUACUCUUUUAUCCUAGCAAUGUCCUGGCCUGAGUUCCCAGAGUUACAGAUUGUCAAAGAAGGAAGGGACCUCAAAGAUCACCUAGUCCGGUGGUUCUCAACCAGGGACCAUCUUGCUCCUACCGUUUUCUUCUUCCAGUGGACAUUUGGCAAUGUCUGGAGACAUUUUUUUGGUUGCCACAACAUUGGGGAGGGGUGAAUGCUACUGGCAUGUAGUGGUUAGAAGCCAUGGAUGCUGCUAAAUAUCCUCCACUGCACAGAACCUGCCCCACAACAAAGACUUAUCCAGUCUAAAAUGUCAGUAGUGCUGAAGUUGAGACACCGUGCUCUAGCCCAGUCUCUGACUUCUCAAAUAACUAGUCAGACUUCGAGAAGUCUAUCUAGGUGCCCAAGGUUACAAAAAUCUAUUAUUCACAUCUUGCUUCUUAUAAUUAUGAUUAACAGCUUCCUGUGUGACUCUUCCCAGGGGUUAUCUCCUGUCAAUUUGGAUCUAUCCAAAGUGAUUAAGUUCUGUUCUUAAACAUCUACGAGAUCAGGAAGAAGCAGGCAGAUCUCAAGUUUGGCCUCUAUUGCUUUGCAUGAAGGAAAGCCCCAUUUCUUUGCAUAAAGCUGUUUCCACACUCUGGAUUAAAGACUGAGUGAGUACCCAGGACUGUGCUCGGCACAUAGCAGGCCCUUAAGAAAAAUUACCAUUUACAGUGGUAUUAAAGAAACCUGGGUUCAAAUGCUAAUUUCUCAAUGAAUCUUGUAAUCUUGGUACAAAGGCAUCAUAAGACUUGCUUUUCAGGGCUGAUGUGAGGAUAAAGUAGACAAUGGAGACAAAGCAUAUAGCAGUGUCUGGCACACAGCACAAGCUCAGAAAAGUUUGUUGGUUAAGAUUGGUUAAGACCAAACCACUCAUUGCCAUUGUUUACACUGGUGUCUUCACUCUGAGGUGUCUCACCGCAAGGCCAGCCCAGCAACUCAGAUCUAGUGACAGCAUUCUGAUGUCUGAACUAAAAUGCUUCAGAAUUCACAAUAGUGGUAUUUCCUUUUGCCCAUCACUUUGCAGGCUUAUUUCCUGAAAUUCAGUUUUAUCUUUGAAUAUGUAAAAUAUUUACAGAGUUCAAAAGUUAAAACUACAGGUCAUUCCUUGGUAUCCAUGGGGCGACUGGUUCCAGGACCUCCCCCCAAUACCAAAAUCCAUGUGUGCUCAAGUCCCUGAUAUAAAAUGGCAUACAUAGUAUUUGCAUAUAACCUAUGCACAUCUUUUUGUUUUCUAGGUUGCUUAUAUAAUAUGUAAUAUUAUCUCUAGGUUGCUUAUCUCUAGGUUGCUUAUCUCUAGGUUGCUUGUAAUAUGUAAUACACUGUAAAUGCCAUGCAAAUAGCUGUUAUACUGUAUUGUUUAAGAAAUAAUGGCAAGAAUAAAAUCUGUACAUGUUUAGUACAGAUGCAAUUUUUUAUUCUGGAGAAUUUUGAUCUGUGAUUGGUUCAAUCCAUGGAUGUGGAACCUUUGACUGUCGAGGGCCCACUGUAUAUAAAAAGGCCCCUUCUUGCUGGCCCAGCCACAUGUCUGCUACUCUACCAGUCCCCCUGCCAGGCCUUGCACUCUUCUGCUCUGGUCCUCCCUGUGGUUGGUUGCAAUCUAACCCAUUCUUCAAGACAAACCUAACAACACCUCUUUCAAGGCUUCCCAGACCAACCUCUCCUUGGUCACCCACCAUGUGUUCAUCCCUGUUGCUUCUGGUUUGUUCCACACUCCCACUGUCUCUUAUAGAUAACUACUUUUAUUAGCUUAUUGGUUUAUUCUGCCAGAGUUUAUUUUUGCAUAUGUAAACAGAUACUUGCAUAUAUUUUUGUUUCCCAUCCUUAGUACACAAAAUACACUAUGUGAUACAGAUUGUUGUUUGCUUUACAUUUUCUCACUUAACAUAUCUUGAACCAAGCCCAUGCCAUGUUAGUAGAGAGGGAGAUCAGUCAUUUUUUUUUCUUUUUUUCUUUAUUUUUUUUUUCUUUCUUUCUUUUUUUUUUUCGAGAUGGAGUCUUGCUCUGUCGCCCAGGCUGGAGUGCAGUGGUGCGAUCUCAGCUUGCUGCAAUCUCUGCCUCCUGGGUUCAAGUGAUUCUCCUGCCUCAACUUCCCUAGUAGCUGGGACUACAGGUGCCUGCCACUGCACCUGUCUAAUUUUUGUAUUUUUUAGUAGAGACGGGGUUUCAUCAUGUUUGCCAGGCUGGUCUCAAACCCCUGACCUCAGGUGAUCUGCCUACCCCGGCCUCCCAAAGUGCUGGGAUUACAGAUGUGAGCCAUCGCGCCCAGCAUGAUCAUUCUUUAUGAUGUGGCCUCAUUUGGGUUUCCUUCAAAGCAGAUCCUGAAAUAGGGUCCUAGUAGCAGGUGGCUUAUUUAGAAAGUGGUCCCAGGAAGAAGAAAUGAGAAAGUGAGAGGGACGGAGGAAAAGUCAAUAAAGAGUAUUUUGUUGAGUUCAUUCCCAUUUUCAGCAACUGGGACUCAAUCCCUGGUAACCCUAAGAAGCACUAUGUAGAAUGUGUCUUACAACAAUCCCUCCAAACAAUGAGAAGGUGUGUCAUUUAUCCACUGAUUCCUGGCUUGUAUUACUUGAGAGCUACCCCAGUUAAUUCUCCAUGCUUCUGGGCUGUCCCACGCAAAGGCUGAGUGAGCCAAUCCCUUCAUAAAAUGCUCUGAGGCAGAAAACCAGAAACGCAAGGCAGACAUCUGAGAUAGGUGCCUUUCAUGUGCACAGAAACUGUCCCCGACAGAUUCGCUGGAGUUUGGGGGAAUGUGGUGCAAGGCUCACAAAGCUAUGGACUCUAUAGAACUUCACUGUGUGGAUGCACCCUAGUUAUUCAACCAGACCCCUAAAGCGGGGCAUUUGGGUUGUUUCCAGUCCUUUGCUAUUACAAAUAAUGCCAUGACGUGCAAACAUCAUUUUGUAUUUAUGCAACCAUUUAUUUAGGAUAAAUUCUUAGGAGUGAAACUUUUGGGUGAAAGGGUAAAUGCAUCCAUAAUUUUUAAAUAUAUAUUUUUUAACAUUCUUCUAAAUCUAGUAGUUGGAGGAACUUGCCAGUGUCCCUUUUUGUAGAGCUUCUUUCCAUUGACCAUGACCAUUAAUAUGGACUCCUGUUUGAGGUGUGAAGGAAGGGCCCGUGCUAACCAUGAGUUUGUACCUAUCACUCACUCCCUUGCUGAAAACCCUCAAUGGCUCCCUAUUGCCUCCAUUAUGGCAUGCAAAGCCCAUCUCACUGUGGCCCAGCCACAUGUCCUCUCUUCUCACACUCCCCUAACAGGCCUUGUUCUCCCCUGCUUUGGUCCUCCCAGUGAUUCCAAUUGAAUCCAUUCCUCAAGACAUAAACCUAACAACAUCUCUUUGUAGCUUUCCCAUACCAUGUCACUUAGCACUCAGUGUUAUUAUUUAUGUGCUGCACAGUCCUCAGGUUACCAUGAUCUCUUUUCAGGUACAUGGCUUCUAUCCUUGGGUAAGUUCCUCAGAACAGAGGCAGUAUCUAUUCCUAAAAAUUACCUGAAAAUCUUCAACAAAUUUUUGUUGGCUGACAGAUUUGGUGGCUACUUGUAAACUACAAGAAAUCUCUAUAGCUCAAAAGGGAAGGGCAUUGUCACGUUCCCAGCAUGUGACACAUUAUACACAAAGCGGGUGACCAUAGAGGCAGAGAUUGAUAAUCGUUGCCCAAUAUCUAUCCUCUUCUUUAUUUGGAGCUAGAACCUCCCCCACCCCCCAGGUUUUAGCUGGGCACAUGGUUUUCCAUCUAGUGACAUUCCUCAGCCUCCUGAGGGUAGUGUGGCUAUGUGAAAUAUGUUUGGCAGAUGGGAGGCAGUGGAAACGAUGUGUGCAGCUUCUAGGUGACAUCCUUAAGUGGAAGCUGCUUGGCUUCUUCCUCUAGCCCUUUCCCAUGGGUGGGAAUGUGACUGUGGGGGUGAGCCUACUCUGACCAUGCAGACAAGGACAACACCCCUGGGUAUGGCUGAAGGAGCCUGGAACCUCAGAUCUCCUGCAUCACAGUCACCUUAUUCUGGACUUGUGUGUAAGAUAGAAAUAAACUUCUAUCUUGUUUGAGCCGCUGUAUUUUUUAUUUUCUAUAUUAUAGCAGCUUAGCCUGUACCUUAACUAAUAGAAUCAACUAAUGAGUUUAUAAGGUAGGCUUGCUCCUGAUUAAAAAAAAUAGGGCAAAACAAAUUUUUGUAGGUGUUAUAGAAUCAUAUUUCAGAUGCACUAAAAUAGAACUAAGAGAAUUCUAUUGUAAGUUCUUUAGUAAAAGAAUGGGGCAACUCCUAAUAUCUCUUAGGGAAAUUCUGGAUUUUCAUUUAUCAAGUUUCUGUAAAGCUAUAUGUUUAUUCUGAUCUUCCUUAACAAGCGUUUCUAGAAGGGGAUGCAGAGAGUGUCGGUUGUAAUUUUUAAACCAGCCCAUAAGCUCAUCCUUCACUUUCAGAAGGAUUCGGUUUGUUGUCCUUUCUCCCCACCAGCUGAGGAUGAGGUUAGCAGGACAUGCUCUUGAAUCAGGUAAAAGUCAGAUAAUCAACCAUGAUGAUUACAUUGAUUAAUCCUUCAAUUUUUUCAUUCAGAGUAAUCAGUAUUUACAAUCAUUUAACUUUAGUUAAAAUGCACUACUUACUCGGUAUCUCUACGCUUUGGGUCACACUGGAAUUUCACUUAGAUUGGCCAAAAGUGGGAGAGUUGGUUUGACCAGAGCAACUAAAAGUUUAAUUGGGUAACCUGGAAAAUUGCCUUUAAUUCUUUUUCUUUUGCCCCCUGCUACUGCACAACAGAAAGAAAAAUAUUUAAUUAAUGAAGGUGAAGUUCUCCACAUGGAAUAAUCAUGGAAGAAGAUAAGACACUGAAGUUAACCUCACCCCGUCAGAGAGCAGGGUGAGGGGACCUGUUGCCCCUGAGCCUCUCAGCAGCCCCCUUCCACCCUCAGUCUCAGAUCUGGAUGGCUGCCUUCCACAAGGCCCCUCUUUCUGCCCUGACUGCCCAUUGGCCACAGAUUAAGAAACCGAGGCACAGAGUGGUUACAUUAACCUGCUGAAGAUCACGCAGUAAAAUGGCAGAGCGUGGAUUUGUACCCAAUCGGGCUCUAGAGCCCACAGGCUUAACCACCGCACUAUAUUGCCUUGCAAACUCAAGCAAAUUUAAGUCUGGUUUUUCUCUCUUGCAACGGAAAGAUACCCUCUCUCCUCUACUUACCUGCAGAAGUCUCAGCUCCCAGCGGUUUCUCUUCUUCUGGCCAGCCUCCGCUCUCUGAUCCAUGAAAAGAAAACUCUUCCAGGCUGGAAAGAGACUGCAGCUCCUUCGGGGGUGUUCUGCACGGCGUGCUGUUGGUGCUGAUGACUGCGGACACGCGGAGCGGCACAGAUACCGCAAAGGGCUCGGAGAUGUUCAGCGCCUUGCGCUGGUUACGCGGCGAGGGCUCCAUCUGGAAGAGGCUGCUGGUGAAGACGGAUUUGCUAGGGCUGUCGUUCGAAGUGUAGAACAUACCCAACAUCUUUGGGGCUGUUUGCUCGCUCUCCGGAUCCUCAACAGGCCGGAAAACCUUCAGCUGUUCCGGUGGGGGCCGGGCCUGAGCGCCCUGGAGAUGGCUGCGAUCACUGCUCACAUCAAAGCCACCCUCAGCCCCGGGAGGCAUCCCCUCCUGGCCCCAUUCGCCCUCCUGCUUGGUGAGGUCACAUGAGCUGCCGGUGCCGGUGGAGUGCAUCUUUGUUGCUGGAAUGAAAAAUCCACCGGUGGUAACUGUUCGAUUGAAAUUUCCCUUGGUUUCUUUUCCUAGUAAAAAGGAACAAGUGUAUGGUCAGCAGCCGGGGCACACAUACAAUAGCAGGCCUUCCAGUAAGGGCAGGCACACGACAUUUGAAUACUAGAGAGGCACAGCAUUCUAACAGGGGCAUAACCGCCCAGAUAAAGACAGGUAACAUCUGGAUGACAAAAGAGAAAGCACUUCCUCAUAUGCACAGAAUUUCAGCAUGAUGCUUUGGUAGGUUCAUUUGCUGUUGUGCCAUACAGAUCACUUUUAAACUUUGCAGGUAGAGCAGUUUUCAAAAAAAGAUUACUGCUAAAGUUGCUAAACAGAGCCAUCAUCUACUAGGCAUUAAAUGUAGACCAUGAAAAAAUAAAGAGACAGAUGGGAGGCGGUAGGAUGAUGUUUGCUCAAAAUGAAGAAGACAAAAAGGAAAAAUAAACAGAAUCUUGUCUUAUUUUAGAACUUUAAAACUUUUUGUUUUAAGUUUUCUCUGGCAGAUGGACCCAGACAGGGGGGUUUGAUUUCCCAGCAAGGAAACAAAUGCUAUUAACAACUAGACCUUCCCCACCUUUUCUCAGGCUUCUUCCUGUUGAUUCAGAGGAUGAGAAACUAGAAAUGUAAAUUAACUAACUGUUAGAAAGCACAGUUGUGAGGAGUGAAUUUUUUUUUUUUUUUUUGAGAUGGAGUACAGCUCUGUCGCCCAGGCUGGAGUGCAGUGUCGUGAUCUCGGCUCACUGCAACCUCCACCUCCCGGGUUGAAGUGAUUCUCCUGCCUCAACCUCCUGAGUAGCUGGGAUUACAGGCACCUGCCACCGCGCCCGGCUAAUUUUUGUAUUUUUAGUAGAGAGGAGAUCUCACCAUGUUGGCCAGGCUGGUCUUGAACUCCUGACCUCAGGUGAUCUGCCUGCCUCGGCCUCCCAAAGUGCUGGGAUGACAGGCAUGAGCCACUAUGCCCAGACCAAGUUCUUGACUUAGAAAUAAAGGCAAGGAAGAGAAAAGCCUACGUGGGAAGUAAAUAAGCUUGGAGAUGAUACGCGAGUUGCCAGGAAUCUAGAAAAUAAUUUCUAACUUGGUACUAAGCACUAAACUGGGCAUCUUACAUAACUGUAUGCUUAAAAUUCUUAUGACCACCCUGUAAGGAAGUGUAAUGAUCUUUAACACAUGAGGACAUCGAGACUCAGCAGUUAGAUGACCUAAUACUCACAUGCCAUGUAUAUAAAAACCUAUAUGUUGAAAUAUUAACUCCUGCAAAACUGGGCAAUAACUGCCAAGAAGUUUCCAAACCAAAGCAAAUAGAUGAAUAUAAAAGUAAGAAAAUGCUGAAAGUAUCGAGUUAACUUAAGAAGAUCUCACUGAGUGUUAUACAGGUUUAGAAUUAUUAUUAUUUUUUUUUUGAGACAGGCUGGAGUGCAGUGGCGCAAUCUCAGCUCACUGCAAUCUCUGCCUCCUGGGUUCAAACGAUUCUCGUGCCUCAGCCUCUGCCUCCUGGGUUUAAGUGAUUCUUGUGCCUCGGCUUCCUGAGUAGCUGGAAUUAUAGGCAUGCACCACCACGCCUGGCUAAUUUCUUGUAUUUUUUUUAGUACAGAGAGGAUUUCACCAUGUUGGCCAGGCUGGUCUCGAACUCCUGGCCUCAAGUGAUCCACCUGCCUCAGCCUCCCAAAGUGCUGGGAUUACAGGCAUGAGCCACCACACCCGGCCCGGGUUUAGAAUUAUUUUUAAAAUGUUGUUCUAAAGAUUUUCUGUAUUGUUUUGGUCUGACCCAUUUUUGAAAGAGAAAAAUGUCUUGUAUUAAAGGGGCUGGAAAGUCAUGGGAUAAGUAUAGGGGAGUUUUAACAGUCUGUUGCCAGACAAGUCCUUUGCCUUGUAAUUUGUAAUGGUGCUUGUUGGUUACUUAACAGAAAUAGAAGAGAGAGAUACAGGCAAGUCAGCCCUGAAGGAUACAGCUGUGAGAACAAAUGUUAUGUGUUAUUUUGGUGGUCGGUGUUACCUCAUGUGCAACUGUAUACACGUCUACUCCAACAAAGGAUAUUGUGGUUUGCACAUGGCUGAUACAUAGCUGGUGCCUAAUUAAUGUUUAAUGAUACAUAAUAAAUGAAUGAAUAAAUAGAUACAUGAAUGAACCUACCAACUGAAAAUCAUGACUUGACACAAAAACUAGGAAGCGAAAGCAUAUGGAAACAGCCAAGUUCAAGAUACAUAGGCCUCUAGGCAUAAAACCAUAGGGCAUAAACCAAUGCUUGGCUCUUUCUUUCUGCCCAAAGGGGAAGACUCUUCUGCCUUAGGUUUCAGGUGUUGACCUUUUACCUGGUUCAGGUUUGAAUGAAAAGUAGCCAUGGACUUCAGCUGUGGCUAGAGGAAGGAUGGGCAAAGAGGAUGGCUCUUUAGGCCUAGCCCUGGAGUAAGGUAGGGGAGGUUAUGGGGCUAUGUGAACCCCUUGAGUUAGGGUAGGGUCAGUGAGGGAUUUGGGACUAGGUAGUUGUGUGUGACUGUGACUAUAGAGAAGCAGGCAUGACAGCUUAUAAAGGCAAGUGAGCUCCAGCCUCCUAGUUGUAAUCUCCAACUCAGAAACUACUUGUAAAAUCUUACCUUCCACAGGCACUGAACAUAGUGAGUCCAUGCUUUUAGCUGGUCGGAUAGUAGCCUUUUCCACUAAAGACAAAAGAAAAAAUAUCCUUGAUGAAUGCAUAUUAACAGAAAGCAUUCAGAAAAAUAGGUCAGGCUGUUUAAGUACCCAAGACAAAAUUCUUUAGGAAAGUUUUUCAAGUAUAAUUGAUCCCCUUGGAAACAUUCCUCUACUCCACCCUAGAUGUUCCUACUUUCUUAAUGCGACAGACCUAAUAAACUCAGGGCAGUUAUAGAUCAAAGUUUUAUUAAUAUUUUACAAUAAAGGUAAAUUGCAAUUUUGUCAAAUAGCUCAUAGCAAAUGAGGACUCCUGAGCUCAAUUUUACUUUACAAAAAGUAUUCAAGGAUGAAUCCAGGGGUAGAAUCCAUGAGGCUCCAGGGCAUUCUUCGUAUUCAGCAGGCCAGAGACCAGAGAGCUGAGACCACAUCUCAGCUACUGCAAAUUUGGUACAGCAGGUGAGAGGGCCCAAGGGAAUUGGAGUUAGGUUUCUGCUGGAUGCAGCUCUGUUCCUUGAGGCCUGCAGGCUGGGUGCUCCCCAGUGAUCUCACCCAUUAGCUUCACCCUGAACAGAUUCCAGUAAAACCUUUUUUGCACACUUACUCUGUGACUGGGUAUGCACCAUGCAUCUUUGUAAGCCACCUUAGCAGCUUUUUGGAAGAGUGUGGUUUAAAUGAGUAAAAAUUUAUUCCAGGCAUAGCAUUACAUAGAUGCAUUCACAAACACCAUCUCUUUUCAGGGAACAGAACUGGCUGAAAGGUAGUUCCUUCUAGGUCGAGCUUGUCAGGAGGGGAAAGAGGGCACUUGGAAGCAGGAGGCCCAGGACUAGUAGCCCUUAAGGUAACUCUGAAUUCAGAAACAUCUGGGUUUGAAUUCCAGCUCUGCCGCUUUUGGGCUGUGUGACCUCAGACAAGCAGCUAAACAUUUUUUUAAAUUUAUUUUUAUUUAUUUAUUUUUUUAAGACAGGGUCUUAUUCUGUUGCCCAGGCUGGAGUGUGGUAGAGUGAUCAUAAGCUCACUACAGCCUCAACCUCCUGGGUUCAAGCAAUCUUCCUGCCCUAGCUUCUGGAGUAGCUAGGACUAUAGGCACACACCAACAAACCUGGCUAAUUUAAAAAAAUUUUUUAGAAACAGGGUCUCACUGUGUUGCCCAGGCUGGUCUCAAACUCCUAGACUCAAGCAAUCCUUCUGCCUUGGCCUCCCAAAGUGACAGCUAAACUAAACUCCAGUUUUAUCAUGUGUAAAAUGAGAAAAAAUAGAGUUGUUGUGAGGAUUAAAUGGGUAAUGGCUAUAAGGUAAUUAUAUUGUACUAAUCUGCAAUAGAGUAAGUACCCAUUAAAAAGUAAUAAUUAUUGAUUGUUGUUGCUGCUAUUCAGGAUGGAUCAGGGCUCAGCAACAAAAGGGAAGACAGGAGAAGGUUCUAUGAGAAGCAGUUAGAGUUGGCUUUAACCAAAAUUGAGCUGUAACUCAAGCUUGUUUUUGUCUCUUGUUUAAAGUUCCCCUGUUCUUCCUCCUUGAUCCAAACCUGCUCCUUCUGGGAGGUUCUGAAUUAGCCCCUUGGUCUCCCAGCUUGAGGCUUCUCUCUUUCUGGGGCCCACUGUGGGACGCCCAGCCACCUCCAUGCAAAUCCUUUGCAAAGGCAGAGAUUGCCUUUCACCUCCUCACUUCCAAUGUGCCCCAGAAUUCUUAUCCUUUGAAGAUCUGCUAUUUCCACAAAUCUAUAAAUUGAUUUACUGCCCUGAAACUACCUGGUCAGCAUCCCUUUGUUUGUGUAUUCUAGGACAUGCACUGCCUUUGUUUUCCAGGAGCUGUAUUUCUGGAAUUUCUCUGGUUUCCACAUGUCAACCUUGAUAGGCAGUGACCAGGCGCCCCUGACUGUGUCACAGAGGCCGGGUAGCAGCUCUGUCUGUAGGUCCAUCGGUGUCCACCUUUGGUGUUGAAGCCUCUUUCUCAUGAUGCAGUUCCUUGUGGCCUUGCGGAGCACAGCAGCACAUCAGAGAUGUGGCUUGGUGGACAGUCCCCAAGCAUUCCCUGCCCUCCUUUCUGGAGAUUAACUAAGAGCUCAGGCUCCUGUGGCCUAUGACUAUAUUUAUAUUACAUGUUUCUGUCUGGGACCUUGGCCUGGCCUCACAGAGGUGUACUCCCCAGUUUUCUGGCAGCCUUUGUGUCCUUGAGUCCUCCUCUCUUAGCUGCGUUACUCAGAGGUGAGCCUGGACCUGCUAUAGCUGUAUGGCUUUGAGAUUUCUCUGCUCACAGUUCAUUUUGGAGGGUUCUCUGAACUCUUCUUUCUCUUUAAUAAUGUACAAAAAACUUAAAUGGAAUCAAUUAAAAUACACAUAUCUGGAAGGCUCUAAA